GUACCCACAAUUACUUGGAUAACUGUGGUAAUUCUAGAGCUAAUACAUGCAAACAGAGCUCCAACCGGAGACGGAAGGAGUGCUUUUAUUAGAUCAAAACCAAUCGGUGGCGAGUUUAGGCUCGUCAUCGUUCAACUUGGUGACUCUGAAUAACUUUACGCUGAUCGCACGGUCUCGCACCGGCGACGCAUCUUUCAAAUGUCUGCCUUAUCAACUGUCGAUGGUAGGUUCUGCGCCUACCAUGGUUGUAACGGGUAACGGGGAAUCAGGGUUCGAUUCCGGAGAGGGAGCCUGAGAAACGGCUACCACAUCCAAGGAAGGCAGCAGGCGCGCAAAUUACCCACUCCCGGCACGGGGAGGUAGUGACGAAAAAUAACGAUACGGG
This 385-nucleotide ribosomal RNA is filed under the name Apirocalodes wegneri. RNAcentral's name for it is "SSU rRNA". It matches the Rfam family "Eukaryotic small subunit ribosomal RNA", at positions 124 to 489 of the family's 1831-position model. RNAcentral also lists the same sequence under 1 other name. Lineage: Eukaryota; Metazoa; Arthropoda; Insecta; Coleoptera; Curculionidae. The record is from RNAcentral.